UUUCAGUUGGCAAAUGAGCCAAGUGUAAAACAUCAUCAGAAAAACCAGCAUCAACCUCCGUUAUGGUGUAAUGACCUACUCAGUGCUUUAAUGCAAACCUUUCUGCUUGCUUCUCUUCUCUCAGUAGUGCAUUUGUAAUCAAAUUCAUUUGUUUUCCUGGCCAAAGCGCUCAUGCUAACAUCAGCUGACGAGUAUCCGUUCUCCCUCCAUCGUCUCUUUCAUUCAUUUCCCUCUCUCUUUCUGUGGGAAGGGCAGCUCAACAUGAUGAGGUGUGUCUUUAAUAUCGCAAGUGGAAUAGGAGCACCUCAGCAGGGCAUCUAAAUUAACUUGAAGCAGAGGAAUGCGGAAGUCUCAUAAAGAGAAAAUGAAUAAACAAACAAACAAACGAAGAGACAAUGACACUAUAAUCACCACCCAUUGAGUCAGAGCUGUAACAGAACGAAUUGAACUCUAAAGUGAUCUGAAUACCAAGUUGCACUUUUGUCGAAUGCGCACAUUUCCCGCAGCGAGCGUUUUGUGCGCCUCGGUGCUUGAAGAAAGUGACAGGUGCUGUUUUUUUGUUGGAUGAUGUUUACAGGUUGGGUCAUGCAAAGUACAGCACACAAGCUUUGCUGGCGACGAUCGGGAUCAGUCGAUGUGCAAUCCCGCGCCGAGUCCUCAUGACGGAUGAUUGAUAGGCCUCAGCGGCGGCGCUCCCAAUCUGAUCCUCGCACAUGAUAAUGCAUUCUCCUUUUGUCUGCCUAUCACCUAAUGCAGUGGUCGAAGAUGACAGAGCGCUCGCCGCACUUCGCCGAGAGAAAGAAAUGAUAUCUUUUUCAUUGGAGCAAAACCAGAAACUAUGAGGAGGGGGAAAAAUGGAGGGAAAGAUGGAAAAGUUCCCCCGCUUUCUGUCUCCAGAGAAAGAGAGGCCUUAUUAUCCGCCUGCAUUUGCAUGAUGAGAAAACACAGCUCAUAUUCAUCUUAGUAAAGUUGUAAUAAAUGAUUUCAACAGCAUCAUCAUCAAUUUUACGCAGGUGCGCUUGUGAAAAUCACUCACUUCAAUCAAAAGAACCUUAGCUCCCUCUGUUAAAGACGGCUCAUUUUUUACUAUCACACGCUAUAGCACUGAAAUUUGGUGGAAAGAGUGAAAGCAGAGAGGAAAGAGAGAGAGAGAGAGAAAGAAGUUGAAGGAAAACCAUAUUUACCGCUGGAUGGCGCUACCAAGCAAUUAAGAAGAAUGAGGUUAUUACACAAAAGUGGUGACUUUUGCAUCUUUAAAAGAUGGAUAUAAAGAAUAAAAUUGUGAUUUUAAAACAUAACAGGUGUAAAGUAUGGGGUAUUGUUUUUGGACUCCUCUUUACUAUAAUUGUUUUUUUAAUUGUUUACUUUUAAGCAAUUUUUUUAGCUUGAGUUAAAAAAAAAAACUAUAUGCAAUGUAAAUUAUUUUAACUGUGUCUCAUUAAACUCAC
Molecule: long non-coding RNA, 1448 nt
Filed under: Danio rerio (zebrafish)
Lineage: Eukaryota; Metazoa; Chordata; Actinopteri; Cypriniformes; Danionidae
Description: lncRNA si:ch211-129n18.2 (ENSDARG00000098842.2)
Source: RNAcentral